GUCAGUGUCCUUUCCGGGUUUUCUGAAUAUAGUUUAGUCUUGUUAUACCGGUGUCUUGAUUCCAGUCUGUUUAUCUCAUCCUGUCUGUCAGCUGCCUGCCCUGGAAUUAUUAGCCUGUCUUGGACUAUCCCUUUCAUCUUGCCGUUCGGACUGUGUUUGCACCUUUCCUGGACUAUUGGUCAUGUUGUUGGAUUAACCCUCUUGUCAACCCCUCUGGAUACAGUUAGCCGCCGAUCGAUUUGAAAUUGGAAAAUCCCCAGAACCUUCCUUCUUUGCUGGUUCCAUCUGACAUCUAUGAAUUACUGGUUCUGUCCAGUUCCCAAGCCCUUCCUGAUUUAUUGGUUCUGACUCUGGCAGAACCACAGUGGCCUGCUGAGUCAUUGCCAAAGCCGAGAUCUUCCAACCCUUCGACUCCACCAUGACGCUCUCCAUGUGACUUGCCACUAGAGAGUUCAUAAGAAACUCACAUACUACAGCUUUCACCUUCUAUUGAUCUGUUCUUUUCAUGAGUAUUGUAAAUUCUCUCCUUGCACCAACAAAAUUGGUGGUCAAAUCUUAGUUGAAAGUGCUUGAUAAGUAAAGCUGAUUAUUUGGUUGUUCUUUGGGAGCAUUGCCGCUUACUUUGUUUAAGUGUACUGUGACUUGACUUAAGGGGACUGCCAGUAGUGGGCACUCAUGCAACAUAAUCAAUGACGCACAUCUGAGUAAACGAGACAGAGGGAAGUUUGCAAGUGAAGGGCAUAAGAAAUAGACUGGAAUGCAGCCCAAAAAUGGCCUUGCAGUAAGUAAGCCUAUGUCUUUGCUCUUGGAAACUACUUUCUUUAACGUCAACCUCUUUAUUUUAUCUGAAAAUUCUUCUUCUUGAUCUAGCUUAAUAAAAGCAAGUUUUGUUUUCCUUACUUUCUAAUAAGCUUCCUUUUUUUUCUUAUAGACUUGUAUUGGUUCUUUGCUUAAUACCUUUGUAUUCAUACAUUUGAUGAUCAGCUGAAUUUUUCAGACCACAUAGCUAAAACUGUCCAGUCCUGCAGAUUUGCUUUAUACAACAUCAGGAAAAUAUCAGGCCCUUUCUUUCGUAACAUGCUACACAACCC
This is a long non-coding RNA of Cyprinus carpio carpio, 1091 nucleotides long. NCBI's taxonomy places the organism in Eukaryota, Metazoa, Chordata, Actinopteri, Cypriniformes, Cyprinidae. The record is from Ensembl.